Molecule: transfer RNA, 64 nt
Filed under: Meloe poggii
Lineage: Eukaryota; Metazoa; Arthropoda; Insecta; Coleoptera; Meloidae
Description: tRNA-Leu
Source: RNAcentral
GUUGUUUUGGCAGACUAGUGCAAUAGAUUUAGAAUCUUUAUAAGUAAUUAUAUUACAAAUAACA